RNAcentral lists this ribosomal RNA (497 nucleotides) under uncultured bacterium. RNAcentral describes it as "partial 16S ribosomal RNA". It matches the Rfam family "Bacterial small subunit ribosomal RNA", at positions 28 to 507 of the family's 1533-position model. The record is from RNAcentral.
GAUGAACGCUGGCGGCGUGCCUAAUACAUGCAAGUCGAGCGAACAGACGAGGAGCUUGCUCCUCUGACGUUAGCGUCGGACGGGUGAGUAACACGUGGAUAACCUACCUAUAAGACUGGGAUAACUUCGGGAAACCGGAGCUAAUACCGGAUAAUAUAUUGAACCGCAUGGUUCAAUAUUGAAAGACGGUUUUGCUGUCACUUAUAGAUGGAUCCGCGCCGCAUUAGCUAGUUGGUAAGGUAACGGCUUACCAAGGCAACGAUGCGUAGCCGACCUGAGAGGGUGAUCGGCCACACUGGAACUGAGACACGGUCCAGACUCCUACGGGAGGCAGCAGUAGGGAAUCUUCCGCAAUGGGCGAAAGCUUGACGGAGCAACGCCGCGUGAGUGAUGAAGGUCUUCGGAUCGUAAAACUCUGUUAUUAGGGAAGAACAAAUGUGUAAGUAACUAUGCACGUCUUGACGGUACCUAAUCAGAAAGCCACGGCUAACUACGUG